UACGGGGGGGGCAAGCGUUGUUCGGAAUUACUGGGCGUAAAGGGCUCGUAGGUGGCCAACUAAGUCACACGUGAAAUCCCUCGGCUUAACCGGGGAACUGCGUCUGAUACUGGAUGGCUUGAGUUUGGGAGAGGGACGCGGAAUUCCAGGUGUAGCGGUGAAAUGCGCAGAUAUCAGGAGGAACACCGGUGGCGAAGGCGGAUCUCUGGGCCUUACCUGACGCUCAGGCGCGAAAGCUAGGGGAGCGAACAGG
RNAcentral lists this ribosomal RNA (253 nucleotides) under uncultured bacterium. Its description in RNAcentral is "partial 16S ribosomal RNA". It matches the Rfam family "Bacterial small subunit ribosomal RNA", at positions 524 to 776 of the family's 1533-position model. The record is from RNAcentral.